RNAcentral lists this ribosomal RNA (514 nucleotides) under uncultured bacterium. RNAcentral's name for it is "partial 16S ribosomal RNA". It matches the Rfam family "Bacterial small subunit ribosomal RNA", at positions 28 to 523 of the family's 1533-position model. The record is from RNAcentral.
GGCGAACGCUGGCGGCGUGCCUAAUACAUGCAAGUCGAGCGGACCGAAGGGAGCUUGCUCCUUUAGGUUAGCGGCGGACGGGUGAGUAACACGUGGGCAACCUGCCCUGCAGACUGGGAUAACUUCGGGAAACCGGAGCUAAUACCGGAUAACACCGAAAACCGCAUGGUUUUCGGUUGAAAGGCGGCUUUUAGCUGUCACUGCAGGAUGGGCCCGCGGCGCAUUAGCUAGUUGGUGAGGUAACGGCUCACCAAGGCGACGAUGCGUAGCCGACCUGAGAGGGUGACCGGCCACACUGGGACUGAGACACGGCCCAGACUCCUACGGGAGGCAGCAGUAGGGAAUCUUCCGCAAUGGACGAAAGUCUGACGGAGCAACGCCGCGUGAGCGAAGAAGGUCUUCGGAUCGUAAAGCUCUGUUGUCAGGGAAGAACAAGUACCGUUCGAAUAGGGCGGUACCUUGACGGUACCUGACGAGGAAGCCACGGCUAACUACGUGCCAGCCGCCGCCGUAA